RNAcentral lists this long non-coding RNA (588 nucleotides) under Equus caballus (horse). Its description in RNAcentral is "lncRNA (ENSECAG00000058339.1)". The record is from RNAcentral. Lineage: Eukaryota; Metazoa; Chordata; Mammalia; Perissodactyla; Equidae.
GGAAACAGGAAAAAAAAAGGGGGUACAUGGUAAUAUAACUUUAAUCCAAAUCCUCCCUUCUUCCUUUUGCCUAUGUUUUCUUAUCCUCCAUAUUUUCCCACUCCAUACAGAUACUUGUUCUUUUUCAGGCAUAUAUUCACUCCAUUCAUUUAUUCAUUCAUUCGGCGAUAACCAAGACGAUGUUGGCAAAACCAGCAUCUCAACCGCCCUCUGGGAUCAUACAGCAUAGUGAGGGACACAGCCAAGGACACAAACCAAUGACACAAACCAACACGACUCAAUGGAAUGGCGAAGACGUUUUCUUCAGCCGACGAGAAGAAACUGUAGGGCAGCUCUCUGCUGGUCCCAGCAAGGCCUUGGUUCAGAGACGAGGAAAACAAGACAAAAACCUCAGUCAGCAGUGGUUCCCAUGGCUCCUGCAAUGGAGAUUAGGUCUAUUCCCCAUCUUCAUCGCUGGGUCCCAGCGAAGUUCCAUGAAUUACUGCAGCAGGGGCCGGCCUGGUGGUGUAGUGGUUAAGUUCGCAUGUUCCACUUCAGCGGUCCAGGGUCCGCUGGCUCGGAUCCCAGGUGCGUACAUGGCACCUCUUG